AACGAACGCUGGCGGCAUGCCUAACACAUGCAAGUCGAACGAGACCUUCGGGUCUAGUGGCGCACGGGCGCGUAACGCGUGGGAACCUGCCCUUAGGUUCGGAAUAACUCCCCGAAAGGGGUGCUAAUACCGGAUAAUUUCUUCGGACCAAAGAUUUAUCGCCUUUGGAUGGGCCCGCGUUGGUUUAGCUAGUUGGUAGGGUAAAAGCCUACCAAGGCGACGAUCCAUAGCUGGUCUGAGAGGAUGAUCAGACACACUGGGACUGAGACACGGCCCAGACUCCUACGGGAGGCAGCAGUGGGGAAUAUUGGACAAUGGGCGAAAGCCUGAUCCAGCAAUGCCGCGUGAGUGAUGAAGGCCUUAGGGUUGUAAAGCUCUUUUACCCGGGAUGAUAAUGACAGUACCGGGAGAAUAAGCGCCGGCUAACUCCGUG
RNAcentral lists this ribosomal RNA (433 nucleotides) under uncultured bacterium. RNAcentral's name for it is "partial 16S ribosomal RNA". It matches the Rfam family "Bacterial small subunit ribosomal RNA", at positions 29 to 507 of the family's 1533-position model. The record is from RNAcentral.